Molecule: ribosomal RNA, 375 nt
Filed under: Triticum aestivum (bread wheat)
Lineage: Eukaryota; Viridiplantae; Streptophyta; Magnoliopsida; Poales; Poaceae
Description: partial small subunit ribosomal RNA
Source: RNAcentral
UUCGACAUAACAGCUACAAGCAAGCCUGGGGAUCUGAGCCAGUGGAUCAUGAAACGUUAUGAUCCAGAAAUGUCUCAAAUAGUAAUACCUGAUAGAGGGAAGAUACCAGUAGACGUAGAAAGGGUUCCGAGGAUAUGGGGCUUGCCUAACAGAGGCAGAAAAGUGUGUUUCAAAAUGAAUCCUGAUGUUAUAAGGGAAUUCAACAGUAUUUUCAAGAUCGAGGGCAAAAACGUGCCUACACUGACAUCUUGGUGCAAAAGGAUCGUGAAGAUGAAUGGGACGUAUGACGACGAUUUUCUCCAUGCUUGGUUGGCUGUUGCAUUCUCCUGCUUCCUUGCUCCAACCACAAGCUUGAGCAUCUCGCCAAGGUUGUAA